UACGGGGGGGGCAAGCGUUGUUCGGAAUUACUGGGCGUAAAGGGCUCGUAGGCGGCCAACUAAGUCAGACGUGAAAUCCCUCGGCUUAACCGGGGAACUGCGUCUGAUACUGGAUGGCUUGAGAUUGGGAGAGGGAUGCGGAAUUCCAGGUGUAGCGGUGAAAUGCGUAGAUAUCUGGAGGAACACCGGUGGCGAAGGCGGCUUCCUGGACCGGUUCUGACACUGAGGAGCGAAAGCGUGGGGAGCGAUCCGG
RNAcentral lists this ribosomal RNA (253 nucleotides) under uncultured bacterium. RNAcentral's name for it is "partial 16S ribosomal RNA". It matches the Rfam family "Bacterial small subunit ribosomal RNA", at positions 524 to 776 of the family's 1533-position model. The record is from RNAcentral.